This 492-nucleotide ribosomal RNA is filed under the name uncultured bacterium. RNAcentral's name for it is "partial 16S ribosomal RNA". It matches the Rfam family "Bacterial small subunit ribosomal RNA", at positions 29 to 507 of the family's 1533-position model. The record is from RNAcentral.
AGUGAACGCUGGCGGUAGGCCUAACACAUGCAAGUCGAACGGCAGCACAGUAAGAGCUUGCUCUUACGGGUGGCGAGUGGCGGACGGGUGAGGAAUACAUCGGAAUCUACUUUUUCGUGGGGGAUAACGUAGGGAAACUUACGCUAAUACCGCAUACGACCUACGGGUGAAAGCAGGGGAUCUUCGGACCUUGCGCGAUUGAAUGAGCCGAUGUCGGAUUAGCUAGUUGGCGGGGUAAAGGCCCACCAAGGCGACGAUCCGUAGCUGGUCUGAGAGGAUGAACAGCGACCUUGGAGGGAGAACAACGACCAGCCGCCAGCGGGAGGAAGCCAUGCGGAAUAGUGGACAAAGGUCGCAGGGCUGAAACAGCAAUUGCGGGAAAGAGAAGAAGACCGUCGGGAUGUAAAGCUCUUCUGUUGGAAACGAAAAGCAGAACAUUAGUAACCCGCGGUUCAGAGGGUGCGAAAAGAGUAAGCAGAGGAUAAGUAUGAG